This 279-nucleotide ribosomal RNA is filed under the name uncultured bacterium. RNAcentral's name for it is "partial 16S ribosomal RNA". It matches the Rfam family "Bacterial small subunit ribosomal RNA", at positions 506 to 784 of the family's 1533-position model. The record is from RNAcentral.
UGCCAGCCGCCGCGGUAACACGGGGGGCGCAAGCGUUAUUCGGAAUUAUUGGGCGUAAAGGGCGCGCAGGCGGUCUUGUCCGUCAGGUGUGAAAUCCCGGAGCUUAACUCCGGAACUGCCUUUAAAACUGGUAAGCUAGAGGAUGUGAGAGGUGAGUGGAAUUCCGAGUGUAGAGGUGAAAUUCGUAGAUAUUCGGAGGAACACCAGUGGCGAAGGCGGCUCACUGGCUCGAUACUGACGCUGAGGUGCGAAAGCGUGGGGAGCAAACAGGAUUAGAUA